AGUGAACGCUGGCGGUAGGCCUAACACAUGCCAGUCGAACGGCAGCACAGUAAGAGCUUGCUCUUACGGGUGGCGAGUGGCGGACGGGUGAGGAAUAAAUCGGAAUCUACUUUUUCGUGGGGGAUAACGUAGGGAAACUUACGCUAAUACCGCAUACGACCUACGGGUGAAAGCAGGGGAUCUUCGGACCUUGCGCGAUUGAAUGAGCCGAUGUCGGAUUAGCUAGUUGGCGGGGUAAAGGCCCACCAAGGCGACGAUCCGUAGCUGGUCUGAGAGGAUGAUCAGCCACACUGGAACUUGAACACGGUCCAGACUCCUACGAGAGGCAGCAGUGGGGAAUAGUGGACAAUGGGCGCAAGCCUGAUCCAGCCAUACCGCGUGGGUGAAGAAGGCCUUCGGGUUGUAAAGCCCUUUUGUUGGGAAAGAAAAGCAGCAGGUUAAUACCCCGCUGUUCUGACGGUACCCAAAGAAUAAGCACCGGCUAACUUCGUG
This 492-nucleotide ribosomal RNA is filed under the name uncultured bacterium. RNAcentral describes it as "partial 16S ribosomal RNA". It matches the Rfam family "Bacterial small subunit ribosomal RNA", at positions 29 to 507 of the family's 1533-position model. The record is from RNAcentral.